AGAGUUUGMUCCUGGCUCAGAAUGAACGCUGGCGGCGUGCUUAACACAUGCAAGUSGUACGAGAAAUCCUCUGCUUGCAGGGGAGAGUAAAGUGGCGCACGGGUGAKUAACGCGUGGGUAAUCUACCCUUGGAUUCAGRAUAACACUUCGAAAGGGGUGCUAAUACUGGAUAACACCCUGAUGGUUUSGGCCAUAAGGAUCAAAGAUAGCCUCUACAUGUAAGCUAUUGUUCAGGGAUGAGCCCGCGUACCAUUAGCUAGUUGGUGGGGUAAGAGCCUACCAAGGCAACGAUGGUUAGCUGGUCUGAGAGGAUGAUCAGCCACACUGGAACUGAAACACGGUCCAGACUCCUACGGGAGGCAGCAGUGAGGAAUUUUGCGCAAUGGGGGAAACCCUGACGCAGCAACGCCGCGUGAGUGAAGAAGGCUUUCGGGUCGUAAAGCUCUGUCAAGAGGGAAGAAAGUGGGAGAUGGUAAUACUGUUUUCUAUUGACGGUACCUCUGAAGGAAGCACCGGCUAACUCCGUGCCAGCAGCCGCGGUAAUAC
This 546-nucleotide ribosomal RNA is filed under the name uncultured Algidimarina sp. RNAcentral's name for it is "bacterial SSU rRNA". It matches the Rfam family "Bacterial small subunit ribosomal RNA", at positions 8 to 526 of the family's 1533-position model. Lineage: Bacteria; Deltaproteobacteria. The record is from RNAcentral.